Molecule: ribosomal RNA, 432 nt
Filed under: Cherax cartalacoolah
Lineage: Eukaryota; Metazoa; Arthropoda; Malacostraca; Decapoda; Parastacidae
Description: partial 16S ribosomal RNA
Rfam family: Archaeal large subunit ribosomal RNA
Source: RNAcentral
GCGGUAUCAUGACCGUGCGAAGGUAGCAUAAUCAUUAGUCUUUUAAUUGAGGGCUGGUAUGAAUGGUUGGACGAGAAAUUAACUGUCUUUGUUUUGAAGAUUGAAUUUAACUUUUAAGUGAAAGGGCUUAAAUGAACUAGAGGGACGAUAAGACCCUAUGAAGUUUGUACAUUGGAUUAAUUGGGAAUGAUUUAUGUUUAGUAAGGUUUGCUAUUGAGAAGAUGUUUAGUUGGGGCGACUAGGAUAUAAUAUAUAACUGUUUCUUGGUAGGAGUCAAAAAUAUUUGAGUUAAUGAUCCUUUUUUAGGAUUUUAGAGUAAAUUACUCUAGGGAUAACAGCGUAAUUUUUUUUGAGAGUUCUUAUCGACAAAAGAGUUUGCGACCUCGAUGUUGAAUUAAAAUUUCUUUGUAAUGUAGCAGUUACAAUAGAAGG